Molecule: long non-coding RNA, 553 nt
Organism: Capsicum annuum
Lineage: Eukaryota; Viridiplantae; Streptophyta; Magnoliopsida; Solanales; Solanaceae
Exons: 3
Source: RefSeq, a predicted model, not a curated record
AGCAAAAAAUUUCUGUUACUCCUAAAGCUCAAACUCCCAAGGAUUGAAAUGUUGUUUGUUGGACAUCUACCCUAUUCAGCUGAAUAGGAGGAUGUGGAGGAUUUCUUCAAAGAUGUUGAAGAAGUUCAGGAAGUGCACUUUUUUACACACGAGGAUAGUUCAUUUAAGGUUUAUGGCCAUGUUGACUUUGUCAUUGCUGAAGUUGCAUAGAAGCAAAGGGAUUUUCUAAUACAACAUCAAGAUGCAAAGCUAGAGGAGUUACUCAUUUCUGAUGAAGUUCACAUAGGACGAGGACUAAAUCAAGAAUGUGGGCUCCAACCAUCAUCUGAUACUCGCUGGGGAUCUCACUAUAAGACAUUAAAGAAAUUUAUUGAAAUAUUUUCAUCAAUUCUUAUGUGCUUGGAUUCUCUACACACGAGUGCCCAAACUAUCUUGAUAUGCUUAAUGCUGAAACUCUUGAAAAUACGAUUUAGGGUUUUGAUUUUGCUUUUAUUCUGCACUUGAUGUUGAAAGAUCUAAUGAUUAAAAAUUAUUUAAAUUUCUUAUUAAAAAA